This 301-nucleotide ribosomal RNA is filed under the name uncultured bacterium. RNAcentral describes it as "partial 16S ribosomal RNA". It matches the Rfam family "Bacterial small subunit ribosomal RNA", at positions 509 to 807 of the family's 1533-position model. The record is from RNAcentral.
CAGUAGCCACGGUAAUACGUAAGUGGCAAGCGCUGUCCGGAAUUAUUGGGCGUAAAGGGCUCGCAGGCGGUUUCUUAAGUCUGAUGUGAGAGCCCCCGGCUCAACCGGGGAGGGUCAUUGGAAACUGGGAAACUUGAGUGCAGAAGAGGAGAGUGGAAUUCCACGUGUAGCGGCGAAAUGCGUAGAGAUGUGGAGGAACACCAGUGGCGAAGGCGACUCUCUGGUCUGUAACUGACGCUGAGGAGCGAAAGCGUGGGGAGCGAACAGGAUUAGAUACCCGUGUAGUCCCUGUCUCUUAUAC